CUACAGGGCAGUGCAUACGGCGGUUGCUAUGAUAAAUUUUUCUAAGUCUUUGACGUUUCGUGGCCUUGUUGUUUACGAUUCGGACUUAGGAAAAUUUUCGUCAGGUUUCCUUAGGCAGUAUGAUCAAAUUCAAAAUUAAUUCCCUAGGCCUUCCUUCCGGAAUUAUCAGCGAUUCACAACUAACUGAGGCGUCCCAUCCACAAUCAUCCCUGGCACCAUUCCGGUACCGCCGCCCGUCAGGACAGAGGAUCGACGAUACACGCUGACAAGAAGGAGUUUUAAAUCAACUUGGAUGUGCACUUGUGCAGCAGACGGCUCAACGGAAGUUUCGGCAAAGGCCUCCGACAACAGCAUCAUCAUCGAAGGGAAACACGACGAGGAGCAGGACUAUCAUGGAUACAUCUCCGGAUACUUCAUUUGGCGUUACACCAUUCCACCGGGACACGAUUCCAACUACAUCAAAUGGUCGAUUUCGUCCGACAGCAUCUUGACGAUUCCAGUUUCGAAGAGGGCGACGACGGAUAACGCCACAAGUCGAUUCCGAUCUUUCAGGAAUUUCAACCACUGAAAAGAAUCGGUACCGAUUACGAGAAGAAGGAGAGCAUUGCUAACAAACCUUAGUGGAGUGGUGGUCUGAAACCACGACUGUUUCAACAAUCUGUAUGGUCCCUUGGUUCACCCAGUAUUUGUUAAUUAUUAGCUGAAUAAAUUAUAUCUGUUAGUAUUUGAAUUCCUUUCGGAAUUCUAUCAGCA
Molecule: long non-coding RNA, 753 nt
Organism: Aedes albopictus (Asian tiger mosquito)
Lineage: Eukaryota; Metazoa; Arthropoda; Insecta; Diptera; Culicidae
Exons: 2
Source: RefSeq, a predicted model, not a curated record